Molecule: ribosomal RNA, 490 nt
Filed under: uncultured bacterium
Lineage: Bacteria
Description: partial 16S ribosomal RNA
Rfam family: Bacterial small subunit ribosomal RNA
Source: RNAcentral
AUUGAACGCUGGCGGCAGGCCUAACACAUGCAAGUCGAACGGUAACAGGAAGAAGCUUGCUUCUUUGCUGACGAGUGGCGGACGGGUGAGUAAUGUCUGGGAAACUGCCUGAUGGAGGGGGAUAACUACUGGAAACGGUAGCUAAUACCGCAUAACGUCGCAAGACCAAAGAGGGGGACCUUCGGGCCUCUUGCCAUCGGAUGUGCCCAGAUGGGAAUAGCUAGUAGGUGGGGUAACGGCUCACCCAGGAGACGAUCCCUAGCUGGUCUGAGAGGAUGACCAGCCACACCAGAACUGAGACACGGUCCAGACUCCUACGGGAGGCAGCAGUGGGGAAUAUUGCACAAUGGGCGCAAGCCUGAUGCAGCCAUGCCGCGUGUAUGAAGAAGGCCUUCGGGUUGUAAAGUACUUUCAGCGGGGAGGAAGGGAGUAAAGUUAAUACCUUUGCUCAUUGACGUUACCCGCAGAAGAAGCACCGGCUAACUCCGUG